GCGGGGAUUAGGCAUGCAAGUCGAGCGAGAAUUUAUUGUUGAGCCUCGGUGGAUUCAAUACCCUGGAAAGCGGCAAACGGCGUAGUAAUGCGUAGGUACGCACCCCUAGAUCGGGAAUAGCCAUGGGAAACCGUGGGUAAUGCCCGAUAAUGUCUGAGGACCAAAGGUGUGAUUCCGUCUAGGGAGCGGCUUACGUGAUAUUAGCUUGUUGGUGGGGUAAUGGCCUACCAAGGCUACGAUGUCUAGGGGGUGUGAGAGGUGGCCCCCACGACCGGAACUGAAACACAGUCCGUACACCUACGGAUGGCUGCAAUCCAGAAUCUUCCCCAAUGGACCAAACUCUGCCGUAGCGACGCC
RNAcentral lists this ribosomal RNA (357 nucleotides) under uncultured bacterium. RNAcentral's name for it is "bacterial SSU rRNA". It matches the Rfam family "Bacterial small subunit ribosomal RNA", at positions 42 to 398 of the family's 1533-position model. The record is from RNAcentral.